AAGGUCCCAGCAGCCCUCUCCUCUCCACAGGCUACUUGUGGCUAAUGCCACAAGUUUGGAAGGGGUCUCCAAACACGUCCAAAUCUCCAAAGGGGAGCUCUCCACUGAGGGGCUGCCAGGUCGACAGGCCUGAUAGAGCACAACAGCUGCAGCUCAAAAAUCUCGUUCAAUUCCCCCCUUUCCUCCGCCCACUGCCCCGGGCCGGCCUGGUGCAGCGAGGGGGCGGCGCCCCUCAGCCCAGCCCGGUCAGGCCCGCGCUGCGUGGUAGGAGCGCCCGCUGGGGAGGGGCCCGAGCGGGGCAGGUAGCCCGGGCUGCCGCCCGCGAUUGGAAUGUGCCCAGGGCGCGGGGGGCGCUUCCUGGCGGGAUGAAGGGGCUCCCUGCUGGCCGCCUUCCCGUUCUCGCCGCCUUCCUGGGGCUCUUCUGGACGCGCCAGGCAUUCGGAGCCUCUUUUUUUGGUGAAAGUUUUGUGGAACUGAACAUCAUAGAAGCUUCUCCAGACUUAUCCCUUCACUUAAAAUUUCAGACCAGCAAACCACAUGGAUUACUUUUUCUAGCAGCUGGAAAAGAUGAUUAUUGUGCAGUGGAACUCAUUUCAGGAAACCUACGGGUGAGAGUGAAUUUGGGUGCAGGUGAAUUAGUGCUACUCCAUUCUCAACAAAAAUCACGCCUGGAUGACUUGGCUUGGCACGUGAUUGAUUUACAUCAUGCAAGUGAUACUGUCACUCUGGUUGUUGACAAUCUCUAUAGGACCAGUGGGAUAAUAUCAGGGAGGAUACACGGAUUGAAUAUUCAGCAAGGAAUCUAUGUUGGGGGGAGCGGCAGUCUUGAUGUUCCUUACUUGGAAAGAGGAUGCUCUAAUUUCCGAGGAUGUAUGGAGGAUGUGAUAUUUAACCAGCGUGAGAUUCUGAACUCCCUCAGGUCUUACCCUGGAUUUAAGAAAGUUCAUGAGGUGUCAUUGGGAUGUAGUGAUGAAUUCUUUGCAGGUGAAGAUGAAGCUGUCAAUUUCUUUAGCUCCAAAUCUUAUGUCACUUUCCCAGGGUGCAACACCAAGAGAGAAGGACUCUGGGAAUUUACUUUUCAGACUGGAGCUGACCAGGGUUUGCUUCUCUAUCAGUCUGGAAGAUCAGGGGACUUUGUUGCUUUGCAAAUAGAAGCUGGAUUCAUUAAGGCACAUGUUGGAAGGAAUCAAAAUAAAACUGAGCUUCCUUCCCUUAGCUUAAUUAGCGACAAUGAGUGGCACUUUGUUCAACUCCAGUUCACCAGGAGGUAUUUCAGCUUGCUGGUUGAUGAAGAAAGAGUCCAAAUAUCCCUGCCUCUACACAGCAGGGCAUUUGAAUGUAAAGAUCCACUCUUUGUGGGAGGUGUUGAUAACAGUGCCUGGGCAGAAAUAAAGAAGUUAAAGUUUACCCCAGUUUCUAGGAAAUCUGCCAGAGGUGGCUCCUUCAAAGGCUGCUUAAGAGGCCUGAAGGUUAACUUGGAAGAGCUAUCGCUAAAGAAUGCCCUUGUUUCCAAAGAUAUUUCAGCUGGAUGUAAUACUAAAAGUGGCGUUGUUUCAAAUAUUCCUGUAGCAAUGACUGAAAAAAUGACACUUCAGACAACAACUCCCUCUUUUAGCGCUCUCCCUGAAAGAUUCAAAUCUUCCCUUCAGAAGGACAGCAGUAAUUUCUUGGCUUUGAAUAACUUGGUAGUUCAGGAAGGUGGACAAGCCCCAGUUGAAAGUAAACAUAUUUGGGUGAAUUUGGAAUUUAAGGAAUUAGAAAUUCAUCAUUCCCAAGUCCUGUUUCAAAUUAAGGAAAAACCUAUUCAUGGAGAUUUGAGAUUAAAUGGUGCACCUGAAUCCCAGGUAAAAGCAACUUUUACAAUGAUAGAUUUGUGGCAAGGAAGGGUUAUAUAUGUCCAUGAUGGCUCUGAGAGCACCAGAGAUCACUUUAUAUUCUCUGUUUCUAUCAGCAAGGAGAAGGAAAUUCCUUUCCAUCUGCAAGGAAAUGAUCAAUAUGUGUUUAACAUUACCAUCAGUCCAGUAAAUGACCCCCCAGAGCUCUCCCUUCCAGAAGGAAAUUUGCUUCUCCUAUUAGAGAACUCCAAAAAGCGACUGACGUCUAACAUGAUAGAGGUAUUGGAUCCAGAUACUAACCCAUUGGACCUGACUUUUUCAGUACUUGGAAACUUCAAUGCUGAUACUGGAUAUUUAGAAAACUCUAAGCAUCCUGGAAAAAUAAUUAAUACGUUUACAAAUGAGGAUUUACAACAUGGAAGAAUUUUCUAUGUGCACCGUGGGCCCCAGAAUUCCCGUAUUGUUCUGCGAAUAAGUGAUGGGGAGUUGGUUAGUAAUACAACUGUAUUACGAGUCAAGGCCAUCCCUUGGGAUUAUGAAGUGGUAAACAACACUGGUGUGACUGUUCAACAGGGCAGCAUGGUUCUGAUUACUCAGAGCAACUUGUCAGUACAGAUUAAUGCUGGGGAGCAGGAGAUGGAGAUACGGUAUGAGAUUAUCCAACAUCCUCUUUUUGGUCAGAUUCAAAGACGAAGUUCCAAUGGGGAAUGGAAGCUUGUCAACACCUUUUCUCAACGUUCUAUUGAUCGAGAUCGGGUGAGGUACUAUAGUACCUUUAAAGAAUCACAAGGGGAAAAUGUCACCGAUCAUUUUACAUUUAAAAUUAGCAUUGAAAAUAAAGUGAGUGAAGAACUGAUAUUUCCCAUAGCCAUACAAUGGCUGAAGUAUAGAUUGGUGAAAAACAGUCCCCUCAAUAUUGAUACAAUGGUUAAAAAAAUGUUGACUUCAGAUCACUUAAUGGUUAGGAUGGAGAGUAUGAAGGCACUUGAGAGCGAGCUUUAUUUUAAAUUACUCUCCCUGCCUAAGAAAGGAAAACUGCUGCUUGGCAGAAGUGUUUUAAAACUAAACUCCACCUUCAGCCAAAAAAAUAUUAUAGAUAAUGAAGUUGCUUAUGAACUAGUGGAGAGGCCACAGGAAAACACACAAGAUUCAUUCAGAUUCUUGAUUUGUACCAACUAUAUAGAAUCAAAGGUUUAUAUCUUCACAAUAAAUAUCAGAGCAGAUCACAAUCACAUUAUUUUAACCAACAAAGGAUUUUCUGUAACUGAAGGGGAAGGGAAGUUAAUCACCAAAACAGAAUUAUUUGUGCAAACUUUGAGUAAUCAGGUUUUCCAUUAUAAAGUCACCAAGAGCCCUCACCAUGGGAAGCUGAAACUUAUUAACUCUUCAGAUUCACUGGAAAGUAAUGACAACAUAACUACUUUCACCAACCAGGAUAUCAUUGGUGAACGUUUAAUGUAUGUCCACGAUGACUCUGAAACUGUGUGUGAUGAAUUCAUCGUUAGGGCAUCUGCCAAAGGAGCAGGAGAUGAGGAGAUCAGGGUGGGUCCCGAAAUGAAAGUAAAUAUUUCUGUGAAACUAAAGAAUGAUGAGAAGCCUGUGCGUGUGGUGGAUACAGUAUUUCAUGUGGUAAGAAAUGGUCAGCGCUUAUUGACCUUGAUGGAUCUUUGUUACCAUGACCCCGAUUCAGAUUUUAACGAUAGGCAGUUGGUAUACACCAGGCGGGGCAUUCCAAAUGGUGAUCUGGUGUUAGCUAGUGAUCCCAGCCAAAAGCUCUACCAGUUCAAACAAGAAGACCUAGAGGAAGGGUGCAUUCUGUUCAGGCAUCACGGCGCAGACUAUGCCCGAUUUGUGCUGCUUGUCACAGAUGGCACCCACUACACAUCCUCCCUUUUAGAGGUCAGUGCUUCGGAACCAUACGUGUGGAUAGCCAACAACACAGGAUUGCUUGUGCUAAAAGGAAGAGAAAAAGCUCUCACAACUGCUAACCUUAGUGUUACCACAAAUCAUGACAUCAGAAGUGACACAGAGAUCAAGUAUGAGAUCUUUUUGCUUCCAAAGUAUGGUAGAGUCUUGGUGAAAAAUAGACCAUCAACUUCAUUUUCCCAGAAUGACUUGAAGCAAGGACAUGUGAUUUACAGGCAUGAUGACAACCACCACCUUGCCGAUGUGUUCAACUUGACUGCAAAAGUUAAAGAGACACACUUGAAUGUUGGGAUUCGGGUCCAGGUGUACUUGGAAAGCCACCAACAUCCCCCUAAAGUUGUUCACAGCAAGAAGCUUUUAGUUGAAGAAGGAAAAUCAGUGAAACUCAGUAGAAGAAAGCUUCAGGCUGUACAUGAAAAUAACUCUCCAUCCGAGAUAGUGUUCAUCAUUAAGAGCCCCCCGGUCCAUGGACAGCUCCGAAAAUUUGUCCCAGAAGAUUGCUUGGAUGCUGAUGAGAAUUCUCCUUUGUCAUUUACACAACAAGAUAUAGCUGAUGGUUAUAUCCAUUAUGAGCAUACAGCUUUUGGCCAACAGCAAGAUCGCUUUUUGCUGGAUGUGACAAAUGGUGUCCAAGCCAUCAGUGGUGUAGAAAUCAUGGUGGAUAUUAUCCCUAGGCUGAUUCCUUUGGUCAUACAGAACUUCACGGUACAAGAAGGUGGCUCCAGAGCCCUUUUAGAGGACUUCCUUAAAAUUCCAAAUCACCAUUUUGUAGGAAUUGACUGUGAAUUUGUCCUAAUUGAAUCACCAAAGCAUGGUUAUAUUGAAAAUUCUCAUUUUCCAAGAAUAAAACUAAUGAAGUUUACCAGAAAACAGGUGGAAAAAGAAUUAAUUUACUAUGUUCAUGAUGGAAGUGAAGAACGACUUGACAGUUUUACAGUCUUUGUGAAUAACACAGAACUUGGGAAACAGAGUUUGUCCCAAACUCUCUUUGUGGCGGUUCAACCAGUAAAUGAUGAGGCUCCAGUCAUAGUAGCCAAUAACAUAUUGCGGGUCUGGAUGAAUUCUGUUACUGAAAUAACCCAAAAUGAUCUAUGUGCAGAAGACAUUGAUUCCUCACCAGGGGAACUGUUCUACUCCGUCACCCUUCCCAGCAAUGGUCACUUGGCUCUGAAAUCUUUUCCAAAUACAAGCAUCCUGAAUUUCACCCAAGCUCACAUCAAUGAGGGCCACCUAGUGUUUGUACACACCGGAGCAAUGUCUGGUGGCUUUAGCUUUCAGGUUACUGAUGGCUUGAACUUUGCACCCCGACAGAUUUUUAGCAUCACAGCUCAAGUGCUGGUUCUCAGUCUGGAAACAAACAAAGGACUGGGAGUCUUUCCAGGCUCCACAAAGCCCAUUACAUCUCACGCCCUGAAAGCUGUGACCAAUGAUGAGGACAGUGCGGGAAACCGAACGGUCACUUUCACAGUUCUAAGUUCCCCCAACUUGGGAGGCUCAUUAGGCUAGACUCUGGCAAUGACACACAGGAUGUUUCUGCAUUUACACAACAUGCGGUAGAGCAACUGAGACCCAGUUUCUUGGACAGCUGACUUGGUUAAUGAAGGUCUGAUAUCAUACAAGCAUGCAAACAGUGAAAUUCAAGUCUGGGAUGCAGAAGACUCUUUUACAUUCACGGUGUCCUCGCCUCCAGCUAUUCUGGGACCCCAGGUGUUUCCUAUUACAAUCUCAUAUGAUAUCAUCGAGCCUGGUCAGCACAGUCACCUUCUUGCAAA
Molecule: non-coding RNA, 5533 nt
Organism: Phascolarctos cinereus (koala)
Lineage: Eukaryota; Metazoa; Chordata; Mammalia; Diprotodontia; Phascolarctidae
Source: RefSeq, a predicted model, not a curated record